Oncorhynchus nerka (sockeye salmon) is the source of this 1597-nucleotide long non-coding RNA. RefSeq lists it as uncharacterized. The record is from RefSeq and is a predicted model, not a curated record. NCBI's taxonomy places the organism in Eukaryota, Metazoa, Chordata, Actinopteri, Salmoniformes, Salmonidae. The transcript has 4 exons.
UCUAAUGGUGGGUGUCUUUUAGGUCCCAGUUGUUGUUACUAGUCAACUUUCAGUGGACACUGUGAGAGCAAAAUUGCAAGAUUAUGUUAUUGUACUUUUAUUGUAUCAAAUGGUUGUUUUAUGCAACAGAAUAGAGGGUUCUUAGAACUAUUGUGUCUGUGUUCUACUGAGGAUGGGCCUCUGGGAGAAAACACUGACAGGAGAUUUACAAUGUAUUUUGGGUGAUUAAAACCUAAAGAGACAGUAUUCCAGAUUAUGAGUUAAUGUUUCUGUUCUAUAUGGUACCAGGGAGAGAUGACCUCAGGGCCAGACCCUGGUUUCUACACAGAGUACUGUUUUUACAGCAGAUACUGUCUGCUGAGAAUUAUAAGUAUCUUUCAUACAAAUCUUAACCUUGUGACCCGUUCUAUACAUCUGUUGUUGGUCAUGUAGGUUGAAAGGGGUGUAUCUUAGCUAUAAAAGACCUUUGUACUUUUGUCUCGUGGCUCUCAACGAAUCAUCUGGGGGUGAUUUGUUGACCAGCCAAUAUUAUUGUAGAGCACUCAAUUGAUUCACUUUAUAUGUGUGUGUUGUAUUGACCUGCUCCCUUAUUAAUAAGUGAAUAAAGAUUUAGUUUAAGAAUAAAUCUGACUUGUGUGAUAAGUUUGUUUCUCAUUUGAUAUUAAAGAAAUUAACAACCACAUUUGGCAAUGUGAAUCUUGACUUGGUGACCCGCUCCUGACGACCUGGGUAAAUCAUCCUCGAGGGAUCCCUCAAACUUGGAAUCUCAUGGAGACCACACUUCGGGAACGGAGCAGAUGGACCCACCUUAGACCUGAGAGGCAGCGAGCAGAUUCUAUACACCAAGUUUUUUUAAAGCCGAAGCAGAGCCCCAAGUCCCAUGGAGACGUCCUCGAGGGCGUGGAUGUUCUCCCCAUCAAAGGCCAGCGGGAUUUCACUCUCAUGGUGAAAUGGAUUUCCACCGAUGUGCAGUAAAGGAGUGAAGAGCGGUGAAAUCUGUGUCAACAAAACCUUCCUCUCCUCUGAAGACCCAGUGAGGGUGGAGCUCAGUCAGAGAGCUGUUGAGGGACUGGUUAGGAAGAACACUUCUACAGCCAGAGAGGGGCAGUCAAGAAAUGGAACGGCAAGGCCACAGAACAUGACAUAAGCAGAGCUGUGGGAGACCACCUCAAGCCCCUGGUAGAGCCGGGGGUGGUGUUCACCACUCCACCACGCCUUCAGCAGGCUGGAAAAGUGGGAUUGAUCUGUUUGAUCCAUUUGUCUGUUUCAGUUUUCAGUAGUUUGAUCCUUUGAUGUAUUGUUCAUUUAAACAUUUUUCAUUUUCAACAAAUGCACUGGGUUGGUUGAAAAGUGAUACUAAACUUACAUACCAUGCACUGAAUUGAUACUGUUUUUCAUACUAAGAUGGACCAUGCGCUAUAAUGACAAGGUAGAAGAUAGCAUGAAAGACAAUAUAAAUUCAGUCUAAGAUGGACCAAAAUAUGCCUUUGCACAUAUUUGUUCAUUGGUUUAGCAAGAGUCUGUUGAUUGGUUGGUCACUGAGUUAAUUUGUUUUGAAAUAUGAUCAGAUCAAGCUUUAUUUAUACAGCACAUUUCA